AUCACCAUAACAAAGAAAAGCUUUGCCUCACUGGAUAGUUACCACCCUUGCAUGUAUCCUUGAACACCGCGGUUUCGUUUUACCUGUUUUUGGACUUUCUGUGAAUGGAAUUGUACAGCGUGUACUCUCUUGUCUCACUUGGCAGUAUGUUUUUAAGAGUUUUCCAUGUUGAUGAGUCAUCCACAUUGUGGUGCUUUCCACCCUCACCUUCUCUAGCCCAGCCGCGAUGUGCUUGCUUCUCCCUCUUUGUGUCUCUUAAUCCAUCCUUGCUUCAGACCCCCGCCCUCCUGAGGCCUCCUCUUCCCCUGCACCCUUGACUGGACUUCUCUUCCCCAUAGCCCCAUUGUGCUGACUGUGGCCAAGUGCUGGGAUCCCUCUCCUCAGGCCUAUUUCACUCUCCCCCGAAAUGAGCCCAUCCAGCCAAUUGACCCUGCUGCCUGGGUGUCCCAUUCCGCGGCUCUGACUGGCACCUUCCCAGCCUAUCCAGGCUCCUCCUCCAUGAGCACCAUUACAUCUGGAUCGUCUUUGCCUGAUGGCUGUGAAGGCCGGGGUCUCUCCAUCCAUACAGAUAUGGCAUCGGUGACCAAGGCCAUGGCAGCUCCAGAGUCUGGACUGGAAGUCCGGGACCGCAUGUGGCUCAAGAUCACCAUCCCUAAUGCCUUUCUGGGCUCGGAUGUGGUUGACUGGCUCUACCAUCAC
Molecule: small RNA, 699 nt
Filed under: Pongo abelii (Sumatran orangutan)
Lineage: Eukaryota; Metazoa; Chordata; Mammalia; Primates; Hominidae
Description: retained intron
Source: RNAcentral